CCUCCGAUAGCUCGAGCGGUAGAGCACUGGGUGAUUUUAUAGGCUGCAUAUUGAUUGAUGCGUAGCCCAGAGAUGCUGGUUCGAGUCCAGCUCGGAGGA
Non-coding RNA from Stereum hirsutum FP-91666 SS1, 99 nucleotides. NCBI's taxonomy places the organism in Eukaryota, Fungi, Basidiomycota, Agaricomycetes, Russulales, Stereaceae. The record is from the annotation of a RefSeq genome assembly.